RNAcentral lists this long non-coding RNA (1229 nucleotides) under Pandoravirus dulcis. RNAcentral's name for it is "putative ncRNA". The record is from RNAcentral.
CAAAAAAGCGCCCCAAAAGAGAAAUCUCUUUCUUUUGUGUGCUCAUCAACAAAAGCGGCGGUCCCUGUGCCCCUCGAAAAGACAAAAGGACGCGCAGGAAAAAAAAAAGAAGAAAUCCGCCAAAGAAGGAGACGACAGAGACAGGCGCGUGCGUGCGCGCACGCCAUGUUAGGGCAAGGCAAAGCGCGGCUCGUCGGCAAACAAUCGUGCGAUGCGGUCGCUCUGGUAGGGUUUGAGGACAUGCUCAAAGAUGGCGUCGGUGCGCUCCAUGGCAUCGAUCCAGGCGAGCAUCCCGCGCAGGCUCCCUCGUACGCCGACGAUGCGCGACAGGUCGUCGUUGCCGGCUACGCGAAACGGUGCGUUGGUGUGACUCUCGCAGAGAGCGUCCGCCAGCGCCGACGAUCUGUCCGAGCAGAGAGCCGCAUAGGGCGGCGGUCGGUCUUGGAUGGCGACGGCGCGCUGCAGACGCCGCUCGACGAUGUCGAUGAGCGAUCUCAGUACGGCGCCCGUGCUGUCGAUGGCCUCGGCCGUCCAUCCAUCGGCGCCGGGACCGGCCGCCAGCGAUUCCACGGCGACGCGCAUCCAGAAGAGAUCCCACAAGCCUUGCACGCGGAAAAAAACGGGUGCUUCGUCGCAAGGAACCCGCGACGGAACCAUGUGGACCAUGAGCGAGGCCGCGCUAAUGGCGUCGGCCACCUCCUGGUCGGUCCAUCUCUCUGACGGAUCGAGUCGGUGAUGAAAAAAGAACCCGAUGCCGUCUUCAUGGCGCGUGACAAAUGUUGUGGCAUGGUGCGUCGAUGCCUCGGUCGGCGGCAAGGCACCACAAAUGACGUCGAUGCCGAGGCUCCAUCUCGGGGGUAUGGACUGGAGGACGGCGCGGGCCACACAGCGGUUAUGGUCAAACUCGGCCUUGGCCAGGGCCGACUCGUCGACGGUACCCGUUCGCGCAUCGACGCAGGCCCAUAAGCGGGCGCCGAUCUCGCCCAAGUCAAACCGCAGAUCGGUUUCGGACCGCCCCGUCUUUGGUUCCAUCUUUUCUUUUUCCUUUUUCUUUUUUUUUUGCUGUAUCUUCCUCCUUUGUUGGGCCUCUCCCUGUUUAGCCUCGGAUGAACAAAGGCAGACACAAAAAACUCGCAGCGGCGUUCUGUAUUAUUUUUGCGUAUUGUGUGCACUGCCGACUCGCGCACGGUCCUGCCGCUGAAUUUUUUUAAAGGGGAGGCAGAGGUUAG